UGAGUAACCUGCCCUGGACUUUGGGAUAACCCUCGGAAACGGGGGCUAAUACCGGAUAUGACGGCUCACCGCAUGGUGUGGUUGUGGAAAGUUUUCCGGUCUGGGAUGGGCUCGCGGCCUAUCAGCUUGUUGGUGGGGUGAUGGCCUACCAAGGCGACGACGGGUAGCCGGCCUGAGAGGGCGACCGGCCACACUGGGACUGAGACACGGCCCAGACUCCUACGGGAGGCA
This 231-nucleotide ribosomal RNA is filed under the name uncultured bacterium. RNAcentral describes it as "partial 16S ribosomal RNA". It matches the Rfam family "Bacterial small subunit ribosomal RNA", at positions 118 to 350 of the family's 1533-position model. The record is from RNAcentral.